AUCGCUAUGGCUUAGUGGGAAAGCGCCAGGCUCAUACGUUUGUGAUCACCUGGAGAUCCCUCGAUCGAAACGAGGUGGCGAUA
This 83-nucleotide transfer RNA is filed under the name Apiotrichum porosum. RNAcentral describes it as "Trichosporon porosum tRNA". It matches the Rfam family "tRNA". From Rfam's summary of the family: Transfer RNA (tRNA) molecules are approximately 80 nucleotides in length. The record is from Rfam by way of RNAcentral. Lineage: Eukaryota; Fungi; Basidiomycota; Tremellomycetes; Trichosporonales; Trichosporonaceae.